Gadus morhua (Atlantic cod) is the source of this 1236-nucleotide long non-coding RNA. RefSeq lists it as uncharacterized. The transcript has 2 exons. NCBI's taxonomy places the organism in Eukaryota, Metazoa, Chordata, Actinopteri, Gadiformes, Gadidae. The record is from RefSeq and is a predicted model, not a curated record.
GGAGCUAGUUUACUAGUGUGGCAGGUUGAGUGUUGCUCCUCCUCCACUCAGGUGAUUUCUGGUGGGCAGAUUGCAGAGUGGUUUCACCUGUAUAAGUGCUGCGCCUUCUCUGGCGCUCACACUGCUGCCUGGCACUCGUGGCGAGGACUCGGUGUGGCGUCCGUUAGUUGUUGGUUUGUUGUCGGUUGGUGUGGCGUGCUUCAGUCACUUGAAGGUGAGUAGGCAUGACGCUACUUUCGUGCAACUUUAUGAUGACAAGCAGGUGCCCAGUGAUCGCGAGUGUUUUUGUAACUUUCCAGCGUUGUGGCCGUGUUGUUCGGGGGCGGCAUUGUGAAGAGUGAGGGGAGUGUGGCAUCCGCUCUGUACUGUUGCCGCAGCCGGUGAUCAGUUUCGGGGGCGUAAAGCUCUCUUCGUUCGGCUGUUGGAGCCGCAGCGGUGCUUUUGCUUUCCUUCCUCCUCCUGUGCUCUGGUGAAGCUGCCCUGCACGGCUCUGUGACGUAGCCUACACCUGGCGAUCCCCAAACGUAAACCAUCCACGGCCUCCGGUCCUGGGGCGGCCGCUCCGUCUUCUCCAUCCACUCCGUCGUCUUCAUCAUCUUCGGCUGCUCCGGCACCGUUGCCUUUUUCCACACAGUCCGAUGUGGCGGUUGCAUUCCCACGCAGCGCUAAGUUUUUAGUCCCACCACAAUUCUUAUCGGUUUGGUUAAUUGUCUGCUUUUCCUUUCAUCUUUUUGUGUUUGUGUUCUUUAGUUUAUUUGUUUGGGUUAAAUCCUAUACAUACAUAUAUUUUUGUGUUGCGUUCUGUUGACCCAUUUGGGGUUAAGCAUAUCAAUAUUUUCUUAUUAUUUCUGAUCUAUUGCUUUGGGGUUCAACGGAUUAUUUUCUGUUUAGUUUGACAUAGCUGUUGGGUUUGUGUAUGUGUGUGUUUUAUUAUAGUCCUCUGUUUUAAAUGAUUGUCGUAACAACCUGAGUGUCUCGCCACAACAGUAGUGUAAUUUUGUGCUUCUUUCUUGUGUUUCCAGGACAGGAGCUGGUGUAGCGGGCGGCAGGCUUUGAUUUGGUUUGUAGUGGUUCUUUUGUGGUUUUGAGUUUAUUUAGUCUGACCGCCUCGCUACCGCCUAGCUCUGUGCCUGUUGUAUUUAUUUCUACUUUGACUUGACACUUCAUUGGUUGUUGAGGUCCCUGAGCUCUUUUAAUUCUGCUUACCGUAGAUAAAUAAAAUUACAUCUUUUGUAA